GAAAACACGCUGUACAGAGGACGAGAUUUUGGAUUGAGGUUGAAGCCUUGAACAACAUUUCUAUCUUUUGGGUUUUAUUCUUUUCUCCUAAUUUCAUGUUCUUGACUAUGUAUAAUUAAAUCUUUUUCUAGGGUUUAUGGUGAAUCUUGCAAUUAAAAUUUCUUUUGCUAUGUCUUAGCUUAUAUGUUCCAGUUUCUAAUUUGAAUUUCGAUAUUUUGUUCAAUUAAUGUUAUCCUAUUGAUUUUAUCACAUGAUUAGGAAUGAUCAACCUAUGAAUGUUAAUAAUCAAUUGAUUGAUCAACGAUCGUACUGCAGUUAAUUGGUGGACCUAUAGGAUAAAUGAGAUUUAGAUUAUUGCAUGACCAAACCUUAAUCUUUGUCUUCCAAUCAUUCAACCUUUUUGUACUUUAUGCUUUUCUUGAAUUUCAAUUCUUUGCAUGACCAAACAAAGGUUAAUUUAGGAAAAAGAAUAUUAAUCACGAAUGACCAAACGGGUUAAUAGUUUUCGUAAAGGGAUUGGUAAUUGAGUUAAAAUAAAGGGAUUCGAGUGGAACUAGACAUAGGGAAUCAAUGAUUGCGAGUGAAACCAUGACCCUAGGCCUCUCUAUUUUGAAUCACAACUUUUACUUUUGUUUGUGUUCGUUCGUAUUUUCUAUUUACUUAUUUAGUUACCAAAAACAAAUGAAAUCAUCGAUUAAUCUAAAUAAUAAAUAAUCUUAAAUAGUUUGGUAAUUGUUAAUUAAUCCCUGUGGAUAUGAUAAUCUUUUAUACUACUUCUGCGCUAGAGUACACUUGCUCUAAGUGUGUUUUUAACGCAACA
This 820-nucleotide long non-coding RNA is filed under the name Trifolium pratense (red clover). Its description in RNAcentral is "long non-coding RNA (TPRA_LNC008651)". The record is from RNAcentral. Lineage: Eukaryota; Viridiplantae; Streptophyta; Magnoliopsida; Fabales; Fabaceae.